AGUGAACGCUGGCGGUAGGCCUAACACAUGCAAGUCGAACGGCAGCACAGUAAGAGCUUGCUCUUACGGGUGGCGAGUGGCGGACGGGUGAGGAAUACAUCGGACUCUACUUUUUCGUGGGGGAUAACGUAGGGAAACUUACUCUAAUACCGCAUACGACCUACCGUUGAAAGCAGGGGAUCUUCGGACCUUGCGCGAUUGAAUGAGCCGAUGUCGGAUUAGCUAGUUGGCGGGGUAAAGGCCCACCAAGGCGACGAUCCGUAGCUGGUCUGAGAGAAUGAUCAGCCACACUGGAACUGAGACACGGUCCAUACUCCUACGGGAGGCAGCAGUGUGGAAUAUUGGGCAAUGGGCGCAAGCCUGAUCCAGCCAUACCGCGUGGGUGAAGAAGGCCUUCGGGUUGUAAAGCCCUUUUGUUGGGAAAGAAAAGCAGCAGGUUAAUACCACGCUGUUCUGACGGUACCCAAAGAAUAAGCACCGGCUAACUUCGUG
RNAcentral lists this ribosomal RNA (492 nucleotides) under uncultured bacterium. RNAcentral describes it as "partial 16S ribosomal RNA". It matches the Rfam family "Bacterial small subunit ribosomal RNA", at positions 29 to 507 of the family's 1533-position model. The record is from RNAcentral.